This 484-nucleotide ribosomal RNA is filed under the name uncultured bacterium. Its description in RNAcentral is "partial 16S ribosomal RNA". It matches the Rfam family "Bacterial small subunit ribosomal RNA", at positions 29 to 507 of the family's 1533-position model. The record is from RNAcentral.
AUUGAACGCUGGCGGCAUGCUUUACACAUGCAAGUCGAACGGCAGCGCGGGCUUCGGCCUGGCGGCGAGUGGCGAACGGGUGAGUAAUACAUCGGAACGUGCCCAGUAGUGGGGGAUAGCUCGGCGAAAGCCGGAUUAAUACCGCAUACGACCUGAGGGUGAAAGCGGGGGAUCUUCGGACCUCGCGCUAUUGUAGCGGCCGAUGGCAGAUUAGCUAGUUGGUGGGGUAAAGGCCUACCAAGGCGACGAUCUGUAGCUGGUCUGAGAGGACGACCAGCCACACUGGGACUGAGACACGGCCCAGACUCCUACGGGAGGCAGCAGUGGGGAAUUUUGGACAAUGGGCGAAAGCCUGAUCCAGCAAUGCCGCGUGUGUGAUGAGGGCCUUCGGGUUGUAAAGCACUUUUGGCGGGAACGAAAAGGACUGUGCCAAUACCACGGUUCGAUGACGGUACCCGCAGAAUAAGCACCGGCUAACUACGUG